GGAACGGCGCUAUUUGCUUUACAACAGUUAUCAGGCAUAAAUGGUAUAUUCUACUUCUCUUCGACCGUCUUCAGAAGUGCGGGGGUUCCUCCUAACCUUGCCAACAUAUGCAUAGGGUUUGCCAAUUUAUCAGGAUCUGUCGUUGCAAUGCUUUUGAUGGAUAAGCUAGGAAGGAGGGUGCUACUCUUGGGGAGUUUUCUUGGCAUGGCAGCGGCA
This 216-nucleotide unclassified non-coding RNA is filed under the name Hevea brasiliensis (rubber tree). Lineage: Eukaryota; Viridiplantae; Streptophyta; Magnoliopsida; Malpighiales; Euphorbiaceae. The record is from RNAcentral.